UCUAGCUGCUAGUUUUUGCUAGCCGCUACGUAACCUUGAAAAGAACAACGUUGUCUCGCCGCUUUUGAGCAUUUUUUUCGUUUGUGUAACUGUGCUUUAUGUGGUGUGUGUUGUUAAUAUCGUUAUUGUCUUUGUGCGUUUUCUUGUGUUGUUUUUUGAUUCCGUUCAUUUGUAAAUUUUCUUUUCUUAAGAUAUUUAUAACUUUUAAUUAUAUUAUUCUUUACUUUUUAUAUAGGAGCUUCUUACGAAUGCGAAGUAAGCCGCAUUUAUAUAUACAUAUGUGACCUGGUCUACGAAAUGUGACUAUAUGUGAAAACUAGUUUUCUGGGAAAAGCUGUUAAAAAUAGUCGUCAGUUUCUCGUUAUCUCAUUAAUUGUUCUCCUUCUUUUUGACACCUAAGCCCCCUUUCCGUAGACCAGGUCACAUAUAAUAAGUGGUGUUCCGUGACAGGUAAAAAUCCAGUCAAGAUUAAAAGUAUAUUCAGCCCUAUUCUGCAUUUCUACUCGAAUCGAAAUUUUCUCCGAUUGGCAACUUUGGUAUUCUGCGUUUCGAUUCAACUUCGAAAAUUCCAAUUCUAUGUAUUCUGCAUUGCGAUCGUAAUUACGUUUUUGUACGUUGAAGUUUUGUUGGCGGAAAGCCGUUAUAUUCAUUUUCGUGCACUUGGAUAAAAUAAUUUCCUCAAAUAUGUCAAAAGUAACAACGGCAGAGCAAUACGAAAAAUUGUGUGAUAUGAUGGCCACAAAAAGAGAUAUUGCGCAGGACUUCCAAAAGCGACCGAAGGAAGAAGUACAAGAGUUUUGGGAGGAGGUUGCAAGGAAUUUAAAUGCACUUGGCCCACCAACAAAAGAUUCCAAUACAUGGAGAAAGGUCUGGAUUGACUGGAAAUGCUACAUGAAGCGAAAAUUAUCGCAUAACAAAAAAUAAAGGAUGAGCACCGGUGGAGGUCCUUGCCGUUUACAACGCAUAAGCCCACUGGAGGAAAAGGUGAUAGCUUUGACGGGUUUGGAAACAUGCACAAGUGGAAUAAGUGGGGCCCGCGAUUAUGGCGAUAGUGUGGAGGUAGAAGAUGCUGCCGAAACCACUGAAAUGGACACUUCCGCUCGUUCGGAUGAUAUCCCUUCAACCAGUGGAGCUAGCAGCCAAAAUAGAGAGCCGAGAGCAGACUUCUUCAUUACUCAUUCUUCAUUACUUAAGCAACAGAUUCAAAAUCAAAAAGAAUUUUAUGCAGAGACGAAAAAAUUCAAUGAAGCUGCCUUUGGUAAAAUGGAAGAAGUUACUAAAUAUUUACGGUACAUGAAUCGUUCUCUUGAAACUUUGGCGGCAACUGCAGUGAAGCAACUUGAAGAACAGAAGCGACACAAUAGAAUUAAGGAAGAGCUGUUGAAGGAAAAAGUAGAAAUAAAAAUGCAAAUGCUAAGAUUAGAUCCAAAUUAUAAGCCUGAUUCAAAGUAGUCAUUUUUUAAUUGUUAGCCUUUUAUUUAUUUUACUAUUAUUCAUUUAUAUAACGAGCUGUGAAAUGAAAAAAAAGCAUUUAAUUUUUUAAUGUAGGAGCUGUAAAAUGGACUGAAUGCAAUUGUUUUUAUUUAAUAGAGUAAUG
RNA transcript from Bactrocera neohumeralis, 1597 nucleotides. RefSeq lists it as uncharacterized. NCBI's taxonomy places the organism in Eukaryota, Metazoa, Arthropoda, Insecta, Diptera, Tephritidae. The transcript has 3 exons. The record is from RefSeq and is a predicted model, not a curated record.